Molecule: long non-coding RNA, 1913 nt
Organism: Rhineura floridana
Lineage: Eukaryota; Metazoa; Chordata; Lepidosauria; Squamata; Rhineuridae
Exons: 3
Source: RefSeq, a predicted model, not a curated record
UGCGAGAUUGUCUGCCUUCUUCAUGAUUGACUAGGUACCACACGGGCGGCGGCGGCUACAUUGGCAGUUUCUCUCCUCCCUGAGCGCUGCAGAGGUAAAAUGAAAUCUGAACUACAGUACACAGCUAACAAAAUCUUUUACUACCCAGUUGCAAAAAAAUGGACCCAAUCCUCCACUGCCGACACGGAAAAGGAAAUGGCAGAUUUGGCAGGCAACAUGUGUGGUCUUGGUCUCUCUCUCUUUGGGCGCUUCCAUAUGACCUGCUUAUUGAGGAUUCAUCCCGAUUCGUUUGCGGGGAAAACACUGAGUAUGUUUCCCUCUGAAGAAAGCAUUAUCUCACACUUCCCAGUGCAUUUCCCCAUCCAUUCUUUUGGGUUAGUGGGUUUAUUGCACAGUCCUUCCCAAUUAACUCUAAUUGUGCAACCUGAAUUUAAUCCCGUAAUCUGAAUUUGCUGGCAAGAGUUUGAAUCCCACCUGAAAAGCCGGAGCCGGAGCCCAUUAGCGACUAAAGGGUCAGAAGAAUGUCCUCGUCCUCAAGGAAAAUUGCUAAGGGACCCCUAUAAUUUGGAACCGACCCUUCCAAUCACAAACUGGGAAGCUGACUGAAUCAAAGCUAAGAACUUGGUGGGGGAAGCAAGUUUGGCCGAGCGAAUAUUCCUGCAGGAAUAUUCUCCUUCCUUCCUGAUGGAAAUCGCUCCCAUUCAACACCAAGCAGCCGAGCGUACCAGCAAAGGCGGGAACAAUCGUGGGUGAAUCCCACCGCAUCAACACCCCCACCCCCGCUCUUUACCGGGCCCCAGACAUUGCUUCCCACGGCCUGCAAAACGACGCCGUGGUGCUUAGGCCUUGGUCGACUCCCGGUCUCCAUAGAAACGCCUUGGAGCAUCAUGGGACUUGUAGUUCUUUGGCAACUGCUGCGACGUUCGGGGCGGAAUGGCAUUUUCAAGAUCGAUAUGCGCAAACUUGUCCGUGUGUAGGUGUGUGCGAAGUGAAAAGUGCUUUGUUACUUGUAGCCCAGAUCAGAAAUCCAGACUUUAUGUACGGAAAAGUUCUCAAUUUUAAGACUUCUUAAAUUUUGCACAUACUGUAUUCGGAUAUUUACCUCUGCUUUAUUGUGGCUGAACUUUUUUUUCCUAUUCGAGUUGAAAACAUUUAACUAGGAAAGAAGACAUUAAGGUUAAGAACUAAGGAUACAUCAGUUGCGCAGCAAUCAUGCUGUGAGCAUGAUUGAUCAAAAUAAAAUGAAGAAAAAGAAAAGUGAGAAAGUCUUACUUUUGCUGCAAAUAAUUUGGCACCAAAGAAAGGCCACUUUCGAGCAACAGCAAGGUUGCUGCUCUUUGGAUGCCUGUUCCCAUCUGGAAAUAAUGUCACAGAUCUACAAGGAAGAUCAUGAAGCAGAACACAUUUAUGGCAAAACAUAUGCCACAACAGAAUUGGUAAAAGUCUUAAGAUGUAAUCCUAUGCAAACCUAUUUGGGAGUGAACUCCACUGAACUUAGUAGGACAUUAGUAAACAUGGAUAGGGUUGGAUUGUUUAGCUAGCCUAGGAACAUCUGCCUGGAGGUGUCACUGAAAUCAAUGCGACUUAUGAACAUUUUGUUAUCAGAGUGGUUUGGCUGUAACUGAAAAAUAUUUUCAUGGCAAUUAUACCACUCAGCUAUUGCAGAGCUUACCCCAAGAAUUUGCGCUGUUGCAUGGAAAGUAUUGACGACAGCACAGUAUCCUCCUGUGGAGGUGUGGACAGUGGUGUGGAACUUCCCUACUUCCUGUUUAGCAACAGAGUGGAGAAUCAUAUGGGAAGCUGUCCUAACACCAUCACCAUGAACCACAAGGCCACCAAAAUAUUCACAUAAAUACUUUUCAGGUUUCCACAGUCUUCCCAUAGUUAUCUUUAAUGAGCUUUAUUAAACUACC